Molecule: ribosomal RNA, 468 nt
Filed under: uncultured bacterium
Lineage: Bacteria
Description: partial 16S ribosomal RNA
Rfam family: Bacterial small subunit ribosomal RNA
Source: RNAcentral
GACGAACGCUGGCGGCGUGCUUAACACAUGCAAGUCGAACGGAAAGGCCCUGCUUUUGUGGGGUGCUCGAGUGGCGAACGGGUGAGUAACACGUGAGUAACCUGCCCUUGUCUUUCGGAUAACUUCAGGAAACUGGGGCUAAUACCGGAUAGGAGCUCCUGCUGCAUGGUGGGGGUUGGAACGUUUCGGCGGUUGCGGAUGGACGCGCGGCUUAUCAGCUUGUUGGUGGGGUAGUGGCUUACCAAGGCUUUGACGGGUAGCCGGCCGGAGAGGGUGACCGGCCACAUUGGGACUGAGAUACGGCCCAGACGCCUACGGGAGGCAGCAGUGGGGAAUAUGGCACAAUGGGCCGAAGCCUGAGGCAGAAACGUCGCGUGCGGGAUGACGGCCUUCGGGUUGUAAACCGCUUUCGCCUGUGACGAAGCGUGAGUGACGGUAAUGAGUAAAGAAGCACCGGCUAACUACGUG